AACGAACGCUGGCGGCAGGCUUAACACAUGCAAGUCGAACGCCCCGCCAGGGGAGUGGCCGACGGGUGAGUAACGCGUGGGAAUCUACCCAUCCCUACGGAAUAACGCAUGGAAACGUGUGCUAAUACCGUAUACGCCCUACGGGGGAAAGAUUUAUCGGGGAUGGAUGAGCCCGCGUUGGAUUAGCUAGUUGGUGGGGUAAAGGCCUACCAAGGCGACGAUCCAUAGCUGGUCUGAGAGGAUGAUCAGCCACAUUGGGACUGAGACACGGCCCAAACUCCUACGGGAGGCAGCAGUGGGGAAUAUUGGACAAUGGGCGCAAGCCUGAUCCAGCCAUGCCGCGUGAGUGAUGAAGGCCUUAGGGUUGUAAAGCUCUUUCACCGGAGAAGAUAAUGACGGUAGCCGGAGAAGAAGCCCCGGCUAACUUCGUG
RNAcentral lists this ribosomal RNA (431 nucleotides) under uncultured bacterium. RNAcentral describes it as "partial 16S ribosomal RNA". It matches the Rfam family "Bacterial small subunit ribosomal RNA", at positions 29 to 507 of the family's 1533-position model. The record is from RNAcentral.